UCAGACCCAUAACUGAAGCUGAGCCCUCUACUAAGAAACGCCGUUCUAGCAGGAAAUCAGUCUCGGUUUCUACUGAAUUAGAUGUUGACUCUACGGUAAACGAAGUGGAAGAAGAAGAGAGCCACUUGCCGUUAGAUGAAACACAUGUGAAUUCUGCUGCCUGCAACCGUGAAAUAGCAACUGGGGUACAGCUAACCACUACUUCUGCAAGGCCAGUGAGGGAUCGCCGCCCUAACAGGAAAUAUGAAGAUGGUUUAUCCAAAGAUCAAACAUUUGGCAGGACAUGUAACAAAAAAACUGGCUCCAAAGCACAAGGCACCACAAAGGUUAAGAGGGGUAAAUCACUAAUUGUAUUAUCGGAUAUUGAAGAUGUCACCACC
Molecule: non-coding RNA, 380 nt
Organism: Camelina sativa (false flax)
Lineage: Eukaryota; Viridiplantae; Streptophyta; Magnoliopsida; Brassicales; Brassicaceae
Source: RefSeq, a predicted model, not a curated record